CCCCCUUCGUACUGUACGUGUGCUUGACUUUAAUUAUAGCGCAAUAGGAUGUUUUCUCGAAGUCCUUAUCUACCGCAGUUAAAAUAUCUUGUUUGUUUUGUUUUUUAGUAAAUAUUAUUUUAGGGAAUAUGACCUUCCAUACUUUUUAAAUCUUCAUUAACUAAAUCCUGCCUUGGAGAUUUAUAAUGAACUGAAACUUUAAAAUUGUUUACUUGUUCUUUCUUUUCAUUACCUCCAAAAUGGUCAUCUGUUCUUUCUUUUCACUUUUCCCCCUCUCUGUUAGGAAUACACCUUAUUAACCUUCUCUAAUUUUAAUGUAAAUGACACUUGUAUAUAUUCACAUUUUCUUUUGUUUUCCUUUAUAUUUAAUUCCCCCUUUUUCCUUUGCUUUGCAUUAGUCUGUUCUGUCCAGCUUAAAUUAACAAAUGUACACUGUGCAUUGAUUUAUAGGAAUCAGAAUGUGCAUCUGAUGAACACUAAUUUCAAUUUUAAAAAAUGUGAUGUUAUGGAAAUUUACAGACACAGUAGCUCCAUUUCACUAAAAUGACAUCAUGACCGGAUGAAGUGACUGAGUAUUUGAUUAUAAUUACUUGAUGGAAUUUAGUGAAGUACUGAAUCAAAUAUGGAGGUGGGUACUUUUGCCAUUCUUAAUGUUACAACACGAGCCCUUUUGAGAUUAAAGAUUUGAUUGACCUCAUCUUGCAUUCACACUAGCAAAUGACUACGCAACAUUAAACUUCAUUUCCUUGAAAUAGACAUUUCGUAAGUGCAGCAGCGUGACAUGCAUUAGUUUAUGUAAAUUGGUUAUGGUGACGUGGCAAAAAUCGAUUGGCUAAUAAAUUCCUCGGAUUUUCCUCGUCUCAUCUUAAUUUUGUAUCUGCGUUUGGUUCCCAUUUUGUUGCACAAAAACUGAAGGAAAAAACAUCAGUGAAACCAGCAAACACUAAAAAUACUUUUCAGAUAAAGGUCACGUAGUAUACGUAUAUGAGGUAUAUGAAUUUCAGUGUUCUGUCUGUAUUUUGGCUAAAAACAUUCAUCAGAUCUACAACGGUAAUGGUAUCAGUCGCGCCACUCUACAAAAGACCAAUCUGGCAACUUGACAUCAGCAGCCUGUCGGUUGUUAGUGUGAUGUAGUUUGGGUUGUGCCUCCAUGUUCAUUUUUACAAUAUUACUCUAGUAAGUGUUGCAGUAGUGAACUCAGCUGGACGUAUCGUCUUGGGCUGUGUUACUCAAAUAAUGGCAAGGUCCGACGUUAACCUAACAGCAUGACGUAUUCUUAUGAAGGUCUUCUAAUUAAACACAAGCAUUAAGCACUCAGAGUCCUGCAGGAUUACUGGGCUUUGUGGAGGCCAUGACCAAAGACAGGAACGUGAAACGUGUACGCUACACCGACGAGUUAAACUGCAGGAGAGACUCGCUUGAUGCUUGAUAGAUAGGGAUUAUUUUCAUUCUAUAUUUUAAAGUGGGUGUUAUCUUGCUAUAUCUUGGUUUACAUGGUAUGUCAGCUCCCAUAAUAUAUAUCUCUCUCUCACACAUGCGCAUAUAUAUAUAUAUAUAUAUAUAUAUAUAUAUAUAUAUAUAUAUAUAUAUAUAUAUAUAUAUAUAUAUAAAAUGCAUAUAUGUGCGCACACAUGCCGAACUUGUUCACCACCAUGCACUUCUUCUGUGCCCAGCUUGAAUUGUCAGUACGUCCUGUUGUUGAAAGAUUUUAGUUUAUAUCUGAGACAGAACAACUACAUUAAUAUAAAAUAAGACCUAUUUUUGUGCAUUGUCAUUCAUGUAAUUUAAAGAUUUUGCCUUUUUAAAAAACUUUCUCCUUUUUAUUUAAUUGAUGUCAAUAUAUGAAUUAUAGAUUUAUGAAAAAUAAAGAUCUAUGCAAAGUUAUGAACUUGCCUCUUUACUCUUUACGUGUUACUUUUACCACGUUUUGUCAGAUUUUCACAUGUGCAUGUUCCAAAAGCCAGACUCUGCUUUGCUGUGGUCUACAUUUCUAAUGACUCAAAUAUUUAUUUAUUUAUUUAUUUAAAGUUAGUUAAACUUUGCUGCAAGAGAGACAAUUGAGAGAGACGAAAUUAUCCAUUACUUCUGUAUUUCUAUGUAAUGACCGUUGCAUCCUGUAGAGGUUUGGAUGGUGAGCUGUGACAGAUAUGUGGUUAGAGGUGUGG
This is a long non-coding RNA of Ictalurus punctatus (channel catfish), 2165 nucleotides long. The record is from Ensembl. Lineage: Eukaryota; Metazoa; Chordata; Actinopteri; Siluriformes; Ictaluridae.